UCUCUAUAGAUCUUCAUCCCAAAGAUGUAGGAUACUUCUUCGAAAUCUUUCCUGAAAAAUUAUGAUGACAGUCAAAUCUUUAUUCUCUGUAAUGCAGAGAUGUCCUUCUCGAUUAAGAGAAUGUCAUUCACAUAUAAAAUAAGAAAUACAACUAUAAAAUUAUUUUUUCACUUAUAAAUACAAGAUUUUUCUCCAUUCCUAAUGAAACCAUACAUUCU
RNAcentral lists this long non-coding RNA (218 nucleotides) under Elaeis guineensis (African oil palm). Its description in RNAcentral is "long non-coding RNA (EGUI_LNC022164)". The record is from RNAcentral. Lineage: Eukaryota; Viridiplantae; Streptophyta; Magnoliopsida; Arecales; Arecaceae.